GGUAUACCUAACUCAUAAUCCUUCUCUGUCGUUACUUUCAAAUCUGAGUCUGCGAUGCAGUUUACUUUGGGAAUUGAAGACGUGGUACGGUGGGAGAAAUGGAACAAUCAAAGAUAUGGUUGUUAGAAGGUCAUUAUCAUCUGGUAUGAACUUCUGAAGAACGGUGGAAGCUUGUUUGUUCUUUCAUAAAAAUGGAAAAUGGAUGUGAUAUAUGAAGCUUCAGCAAUUAUGAGUGAAGCUCAAGAACAGGUGGGUGGUUGUUGGAUGCGCACUCGUGGGCUUGAGGCUGCUAGAGCUCGUGGGCUUGAGGCUGCUAGAGCUCGUGGGCUUGGUCGGCUAAUGGGUUGUGGCGUUUGCUGGAGGUUGGGUCUAGAGUUUGAAGACCUGAUCCAACCCGACCUGCAACUUCUUCCUUACCCAAGUAUUUGCAGAUAUGAUGUCCUCUUCGUAGACGAUCUUCCACAGACAAAGACAUGUUUCCACAUCACAUAUAUGCCAGAAUUUUCAUUUAUUGAAAUAAAAUUAGAGAAAUACAGACUAAAUAAACAAAGAGAAGACAAUAAACCUAACUCCAAGCCAUAAAAGAGAUGUUUAGUUUCAAAAUGGAUACAUAAUUACUUCAAAAUAACUAAUAUAGGUAGGGAACAACUACAAUGGGAAGUGAGCAAAAACAGAAACAGAAACACACUGCACAACAAAACACC
This is a long non-coding RNA of Cucurbita pepo subsp. pepo (vegetable marrow), 704 nucleotides long. RefSeq lists it as uncharacterized. Lineage: Eukaryota; Viridiplantae; Streptophyta; Magnoliopsida; Cucurbitales; Cucurbitaceae. The record is from RefSeq and is a predicted model, not a curated record.